AAAAUUUAAAUUUUGAAAAUUAAAAUUUAAAAUUUAAAAUUUAAAAUUUAAAAUUUGAAUUUUAAAAUUUGAUAUUUUGAAAUUUAAAAUUUAAAAUUUGAAUUUUGAAAACUAAAAUUUAAAAUGAAAUUUGAAAUUCUAAAUUUUAAAUUUGAAAAUUAAAAAUUUAGAAUUAAAAAUUGAAAAUAUAAAUUAAAAAAUUUAAAAUUUGAAGUUUUAUUAUUAGUAAACUAAAAUUUAAAAUUUGAUAUUCGAAAAUUAAAAUUUGAAUUUCUAAAAUUAAAAAAUUUAAAAUUUAAAAUUUGACAUUUAAAUUUUGAAAUUAUAAAAUUUAAUUUUUGAUAUUUCAAAUUUAAAAUUCAAAUUUUAAAUUUGAAAUUAAAAAUUUGAAUAUAAAUUAAAUUGUAAAAUUUAAAAUUUAAAAUUUAAAAUCUAUGUUGAAAUUUAAAGUUUCAUGUUGAAAUUGAAAAGUUAGAACUUUGAUGCAUCUUUGCCCAAGAAUGAUGAAAUUCUUUUUAUUUGGUUAAAGUGGAUUAUAAUUUUACUCCAUCUUUUGGAGUAUAGUUUAAAAAUACUUCAAAAAUUAUAGUAUUUUGAGCUAGAGAAACUGAUAGGAAAAUGCAUGGUGCGGAUAUUUUACUUCUCAAGGAUGAACUCUCGGAUUUCUAUUCCUGUAUGUCGGGCA
This 685-nucleotide long non-coding RNA is filed under the name Ananas comosus (pineapple). Its description in RNAcentral is "long non-coding RNA (ACOM_LNC041403)". The record is from RNAcentral. Lineage: Eukaryota; Viridiplantae; Streptophyta; Magnoliopsida; Poales; Bromeliaceae.